GUCCACGCCGUAAACGAUGAGUGCUAGAUGCUGUGGGUAUUGACCCCCGCGGUGUAGCAGCCAACGCGUUAAGCACUCCGCCUGGGGAGUACGGCCGCAAGGCUAAAACUACAAAGGAAUUGACGGGGGCCCGCACAAGCGGUGGAGCAUGUGGUUCAAUUCGACGCAACGCGCAGAACCUUACCUGGGUUAAAUCCACUCAGACAUUGCAGAGAUGUAGGGGUGCCCUUCGGGGAAUGAGUGAGAAGGUGCUGCAUGGCUGUCGU
Molecule: ribosomal RNA, 266 nt
Filed under: uncultured bacterium
Lineage: Bacteria
Description: partial 16S ribosomal RNA
Rfam family: Bacterial small subunit ribosomal RNA
Source: RNAcentral